RNAcentral lists this transfer RNA (75 nucleotides) under Muribaculaceae bacterium. RNAcentral describes it as "tRNA-Ser". It matches the Rfam family "tRNA". From Rfam's summary of the family: Transfer RNA (tRNA) molecules are approximately 80 nucleotides in length. Their secondary structure includes four short double-helical elements and three loops (D, anti-codon, and T loops). Further hydrogen bonds mediate the characteristic L-shaped molecular structure. tRNAs have two regions of fundamental functional importance: the anti-codon, which is responsible for specific mRNA codon recognition, and the 3' end, to which the tRNAs corresponding amino acid is attached (by aminoacyl-tRNA synthetases). tRNAs cope with the degeneracy of the genetic code in two manners: having more than one tRNA (with a specific anti-codon) for a particular amino acid; and 'wobble' base-pairing, i.e. permitting non-standard base-pairing at the 3rd anti-codon position. The record is from RNAcentral. Lineage: Bacteria; Pseudomonadati; Bacteroidota; Bacteroidia; Bacteroidales; Muribaculaceae.
AACGGUGUAGCUCAGUUGGCAGAGCACCAGGGCGUGAAGCCCUGCAUGUCGGCGGUUCGAUCCCGUCCACCGUUC